This 510-nucleotide ribosomal RNA is filed under the name uncultured bacterium. RNAcentral's name for it is "partial 16S ribosomal RNA". It matches the Rfam family "Bacterial small subunit ribosomal RNA", at positions 28 to 507 of the family's 1533-position model. The record is from RNAcentral.
GACGAACGCUGGCGGCGUGCUUAACACAUGCAAGUCGAACGAAGAGCGAUGGAAGCUUGCUUCUAUCAAUCUUAGUGGCGAACGGGUGAGUAACGCGUAAUCAACCUGCCCUUCAGAGGGGGACAACAGUUGGAAACGACUGCUAAUACCGCAUACGAUCUAAUCUCGGCAUCGAGGAUAGAUGAAAGGUGGCCUCUACAUGUAAGCUAUCACUGAAGGAGGGGAUUGCGUCUGAUUAGCUAGUUGGAGGGGUAACGGCCCACCAAGGCGAGGAUCAGUAGCCGGUCAGCGAGGAGAAACGGAGUAGCUGGGCUGGGGACAUGACCCACACUACUACGGGAGGCAGCAGUGCGGAACCCUCCGCAAUGGACGAAAUGGGGACGGUUCAACAAUGCGUGAGUGAUGAAGGCCGUCGUGUUGUAAGAAUCUGUUAAUCGGGACGAAAGGCCUUCUUGCGAAUAGUGAGAAGGAUUGACGGUACCGGAAGAGAAAGCCACGGCUAACUACGUG